This 597-nucleotide ribosomal RNA is filed under the name Salmonella enterica. RNAcentral's name for it is "partial 23S ribosomal RNA". It matches the Rfam family "Bacterial large subunit ribosomal RNA", at positions 711 to 1304 of the family's 2925-position model. Lineage: Bacteria; Pseudomonadati; Pseudomonadota; Gammaproteobacteria; Enterobacterales; Enterobacteriaceae. The record is from RNAcentral. RNAcentral also lists the same sequence under 1 other name.
AGACCCGAAACCCGGUGAUCUAGCCAUGGGCAGGUUGAAGGUUGGGUAACACUAACUGGAGGACCGAACCGACUAAUGUUGAAAAAUUAGCGGAUGACCUGUGGCUGGGGGUGAAAGGCCAAUCAAACCGGGAGAUAGCUGGUUCUCCCCGAAAGCUAUUUAGGUAGCGCCUCGUGAAUUCAUCUCCGGGGGUAGAGCACUGUUUCGGCUAGGGGGCCAUCCCGGCUUACCAACCCGAUGCAAACUGCGAAUACCGGAGAAUGUUAUCACGGGAGACACACGGCGGGUGCUAACGUCCGUCGUGAAGAGGGAAACAACCCAGACCGCCAGCUAAGGUCCCAAAGUCAUGGUUAAGUGGGAAACGAUGUGGGAAGGCCCAGACAGCCAGGAUGUUGGCUUAGAAGCAGCCAUCAUUUAAAGAAAGCGUAAUAGCUCACUGGUCGAGUCGGCCUGCGCGGAAGAUGUAACGGGGCUAAACCAUGCACCGAAGCUGCGGCAGCGACGCUUAUGCGUUGUUGGGUAGGGGAGCGUUCUGUAAGCCUGUGAAGGUGGCCUGUGAGGGUUGCUGGAGGUAUCAGAAGUGCGAAUGCUGACAUA